RNAcentral lists this ribosomal RNA (506 nucleotides) under uncultured bacterium. RNAcentral's name for it is "bacterial SSU rRNA". It matches the Rfam family "Bacterial small subunit ribosomal RNA", at positions 8 to 526 of the family's 1533-position model. The record is from RNAcentral.
AGAGUUUGAUCCUGGCUCAGGACGAACGCUUGCGGCGUGCCUAAGAAAUGCAAGUCGAGCGGGGAAUUAGAUUUCGGUUUAGUUCCUAGCGGCGAACGGUCGCGUAACACGUAAGCAACCUGCCCCGAAGACCGGGACAACAUCUCGAAAGGGGUGCUAAUACCGGAUGUGGCCAUUGGGGGACAUCCCCUAGUGAUUAAAUCCAGCAAUGGGCUUCGGGAGGGGCUUGCGGCCUAUCAGCUAGUUGGUGGGGUAACGGCCUACCAAGGCGACGACGGGUAGCUGGUCUGAGAGGACGGCCAGCCGGACUGGGACUGAGAUACGGCCCAGACUCCUACGGGGGCAGCAAUUAGGAAUCUUGCGCAAUGGGCGAAAGCCUGACGCAGCGACGCCGCGUGGAGGAGGAAGUCCUUCGGGAUGUAAACUCCUUUUUCCGGGGAAGAAACAAAUGACGGUACCCGGUGAAUAAGCCCCGGCUAACUACGUGCCAGCAGCCGCGGUAAUAC